UACGAACGCUGGCGGCGUGCCUAACACAUGCAAGUCGAGCGGAGCCAAUCAAACAAUCCCUUCGGGGUGCGUUUGAGGAAGCUUAGCGGCGGACGGGUGAGUAACGCGUGAGUAACCUGCCCAUAAGAGAGGGAUAACACAGAGAAAUUUGUGCUAAUACCUCAUAUUGAGUUUUAAUCGCAUGGUUUCAACUUGAAAGAUUUAUCGCUUAUGGAUGGACUCGCGUCUGAUUAGCUAGUUGGUAAGGUAACGGCUUACCAAGGCGACGAUCAGUAGCCGAACUGAGAGGUUGAUCGGCCACAUUGGGACUGAGACACGGCCCAGACUCCUACGGGAGGCAGCAGUGGGGGAUAUUGCGCAAUGGGGGAAACCCUGACGCAGCAACGCCGCGUGAAGGAAGAAGGUUUUCGGAUUGUAAACUUCUGUUCUUAGGGAAGAAGACAGUGACGGUACCUAAGGAGCAAGCCACGGCUAACUACGUG
Molecule: ribosomal RNA, 482 nt
Filed under: uncultured bacterium
Lineage: Bacteria
Description: bacterial SSU rRNA
Rfam family: Bacterial small subunit ribosomal RNA
Source: RNAcentral